This 21-nucleotide non-coding RNA is filed under the name Arabidopsis thaliana (thale cress). The record is from RNAcentral. Lineage: Eukaryota; Viridiplantae; Streptophyta; Magnoliopsida; Brassicales; Brassicaceae.
UUCAUUCAAGGACUUCUAUUC